GUGCCAGCAGCCGCGGUAAUACGUAGGUGGCAAGCGUUGUCCGGAUUUAUUGGGCGUAAAGCGAGCGCAGGCGGUUUUUUAGGUCUGAUGUGAAAGCCUUCGGCUUAACCGGAGAAGUGCAUCGGAAACCGGGAGACUUGAGUGCAGAAGAGGACAGUGGAACUCCAUGUGUAGCGGUGAAAUGCGUAGAUAUAUGGAAGAACACCAGUGGCGAAGGCGGCUGUCUGGUCUGCAACUGACGCUGAGGCUCGAAAGCAUGGGUAGCGAACAGGAUUAGAUACCCUGGUAGUCCAUGCCGUAAACGAUGAGUGCUAAGUGUUGGAGGGUUUCCGCCCUUCAGUGCUGCAGCUAACGCAUUAAGCACUCCGCCUGGGGAGUACGACCGCAAGGUUGAAACUCAAAGGAAUUGACGGGGGCCCGCACAAGCGGUGGAGCAUGUGGUUUAAUUCGAUGCUACGCGAAGAACCUUACCAGGUCUUGACAUCUUCUGCUAACCUAAGAGAUUAGGCGUUCCCUUCGGGGACGGAAUGACAGGUGGUGCAUGGUUGUCGUCAGCUCGUGUCGUGAGAUGUUGGGUUAAGUCCCGCAACGAGCGCAACCCUUAUUGUCAGUUGCCAGCAUUUAGUUGGGCACUCUGGCGAGACUGCCGGUGACAAACCGGAGGAAGGUGGGGAUGACGUCAAAUCAUCAUGCCCCUUAUGACCUGGGCUACACACGUGCUACAAUGGACGGUACAACGAGUCGCGAAACCGCGAGGUCAAGCUAAUCUCUGAAAGCCGUUCUCAGUUCGGAUUGCAGGCUGCAACUCGCCUGCAUGAAGUUGGAAUCGCUAGUAAUCGUGGAUCAGCAUGCCACGGUGAAUACGUUCCCGGGCCUUGUACACACCGCCCGUCACACCAUGAGAGUUUGUAACACCCAAAGCCGGUGAGGUAACCUUCGGGGGCCAGCCGUCUAAGGUGGGACAGAUGAUUAGGGUGAAGUCGUAACAAGGUAGCCGUAGGAGAACCUGCGGCUGGAUCACCUCCUUUCUA
Molecule: ribosomal RNA, 1031 nt
Filed under: uncultured bacterium
Lineage: Bacteria
Description: bacterial SSU rRNA
Rfam family: Bacterial small subunit ribosomal RNA
Source: RNAcentral